RNAcentral lists this unclassified non-coding RNA (240 nucleotides) under soil metagenome. Its description in RNAcentral is "partial contains 5.8S ribosomal RNA, internal transcribed spacer 2, and large subunit ribosomal RNA". The record is from RNAcentral.
AACCAUAGAAACCUGCGGAGUACCUGCGGAAGGAUCAUUACAGAGUUGCAAAACUCCCUAAACCAUUGUGAACGUUACCUAAACCGUUGCUUCGGCGGGCGGCCCGGGUCCUUCCCGGCGCCCCUCGGCCCUCGCGGGCGCCCGCCGGAGGUAAACCAAACUAUUGCAUUUGUAUGGCCUCUCUGAGUCUUCUGUACUGAAUAAGUCAAAACUUUUAACAAUGGAUCUCAGAUCGGAAGA